CCUGGACUAGGAAGAUACCCUCCUUUCAAGAGAGAGGUUGUAGCUAUUGCUACUACUGCUCUGGAGGGAUUCAAGAAUGAAGCAAAAAAGAUGGUUGUUGCACUAGUGGAUAUGGAGCGGGCAUUUGUGCCUCCCCAGCAUUUCAUCCGUUUGGUGCAAAGGAGGAUGGAAAGACAGCGCCGAGAGGAGGAACUUAAGAACCGAUCUUCUAAAAAAGGACAUGAAGCUGAGCAAGCAAUAC
RNAcentral lists this unclassified non-coding RNA (241 nucleotides) under Hevea brasiliensis (rubber tree). The record is from RNAcentral. Lineage: Eukaryota; Viridiplantae; Streptophyta; Magnoliopsida; Malpighiales; Euphorbiaceae.